UGCCGGGCGUGGAUGAGUGGACAUUUAUUCACCAGUCCUACUGUCUGAAAUCUGAACAAGUGUAGUUUCAGGUGAAAUCGUUGGCUGUAGCUCAUUUCUUGAAUAGUCUUCUGUACGCAGCGUUAAAAUAAGCGUGCUAUAUGCGCUUGUUUACGACUCCUGCCUGACGCUCCAUAUGGGGGCAAUUUUCAAAAAUUGCCUAUAAGCUGGAUAUUUUUUUACUGAAUUGGACGCCAUGUCCAUUCUAUGUCAAAAUGGUCACUCAAAUCUACUGCUAUGUGCAUGUACAAAACUAAUGAAUCACCCAAAUUCGAGUCAGGUUUGGCACCUCUCUCCAUGUGAGUAACGCUGUUAUCGAGGUUAAUUUACAAAGAGCAAACUGUAGCGCUGCCCAACAGGCAAGAUGUAGACAGCGUUGAUGUCACAGCUACAAAUUCUGUUAGAAAGUAUUUUAUAUUUGGGGUGUGAGAAUCGUGUGUUGACCAUGUGAUAAGACAGCAGUGUAUUUCCUGAAUUUAAAUUAUUGUUGCAGAAUUAACCUAUUUCUUAAGGUGUGGAAUUUGGUACAUUUUCCAGAGAUAAAUUUUCCUGCCAAUUCCUUAUCUUUUCUGUUUUCAAGUAUAGAUGUUUACAAACAUCCUUUGCAGAAGUAUGUCAAGAGUAGGAUAUGAUAUUGAAACGUUUGAAAAAGGAGUGGAGGCAAACAUCAAAAUUCUCUCUGCACCAACAUUCUGUCAGUAAACAUCUUUUUUUUUAGAAUUCAACGGUCAAUUUUUUUUUUUGAAAUCAAUAGGCAAUAAUUUUAUUAUGUUCUACACUGAUUUUGCCUGCGAUGUAGUGUAUAUUAUCACUGUAAAAAAUGCAUAAUUAAGUUUAUCUUAUGUCUUAUCAUCCGUACAAAACUUAUUGCACAAGGCCCUACCUUGUGCCUAACAAGGUUUAAUUUGUGUAUAUAUAGAUCAACCGGCAUGCGUCCAAUGCACCACAACCAAACAAAGCUCAAGAAAAAUGGCACCCACCGCUACUACAUAACCGGUUAUCAGUAACGGUCGGGACCGUCGUUACUAACUUCGUGUUACUGAUGAUACCCAUCAUCAGUAACGGUCUCUGAUGUAUAUAUACAUCAGUGGCGGUCGCUCCUUCCUGACCGUUACUGAUGUAUAUAUCAUCAGUAACGGUCGCGUCUCCCCAUCACUGUCGGUCGAUCGACCGACACUGAUACAUUUUCGGUAUUUAAAAUAAUAAUUAAAAUCACAGUAAAUACACAGAAAUACACAACAAAUUAUAUACAGCACAACAAAUUAUGUACAGAAUGUAUCUCAUCACAGAAAAAUACAUAUCACAUCACAUCACAUCAUUUAAAGCAUACAAUUGUAUAUAAGCCGCAUCAUAUAAAGAAUACAAAUGUAUCUCACUUCACGACAUUGAUUACAAAGUGUCAAAAUUCCAUAAAAACAUAAUUACAAAGUGUCAAAAUUUCAUAGAAGCAUAUAAAAAAUACAAAUGAAUCUAUUGUCGUGGGUGAACCCUAGACAGACUUGUUCCACGCGUUCA
Molecule: long non-coding RNA, 1554 nt
Filed under: Brachypodium distachyon (stiff brome)
Lineage: Eukaryota; Viridiplantae; Streptophyta; Magnoliopsida; Poales; Poaceae
Description: long non-coding RNA (BDIS_LNC001876)
Source: RNAcentral